This is a non-coding RNA of Chlorocebus sabaeus (green monkey), 4404 nucleotides long. NCBI's taxonomy places the organism in Eukaryota, Metazoa, Chordata, Mammalia, Primates, Cercopithecidae. The record is from RefSeq and is a predicted model, not a curated record.
AACUUCCGGGUCAAAGGUGCCUGAGCCGGCGGGUCCCCGGUGUCCGCCGCCGCUGUCGUCCCCCGCGCCCGCCACUUCCGGGGCCGCAGUCCCGGGCAUGGAGCCGCGACCGUGAGGCGCCGCUGGCCCCGGGACGACCUGCCCAGCCCGGCCGCCGCCCCACGUCCCGGUCUGUGUCCCACGCCUGCAGCUGGAAUGGAGGCUCUCUGGACCCUUUAGAAGCUGCCCCUGGAAGGAGCUUUCUGAAGGCUUUGAGGAGAGAAGGGGAGAGUGCUGAUUUCGGCAGGAUUUGGUGGAGGGGUGCCUGUAUCCCCCUAUACUGCCUGACCUGGCACCCCUGCCCUCCUGAGGUCAGCUGAGCGGUUAAUGCGGAAGGUUAAGAAGCUGCGCCUGGACAAGGAGAACACCGGAAGUUGGAGAAGCUUCUCGCUGAAUUCCGAGGGAGCUGAGAGGAUGGCCACCACCGGGACCCCAACAGCCGACCGAGGUGAUGCAGCCGCCACGGAUGACCCGGCCGCCCGCUUCCAGGUGCAGAAGCACUCUUGGGACGGGCUCCGGAGCAUCAUCCACGGCAGCCGCAAGUACUCGGGCCUCAUUGUUAACAAGGCGCCCCACGACUUCCAGUUUGUGCAGAAGACGGAUGAGUCUGGGCCCCACUCCCACCGCCUCUACUAUCUGGGGAUGCCAUAUGGCAGCCGAGAGAACUCCCUCCUCUACUCUGAGAUUCCCAAGAAGGUCCGGAAAGAGGCUCUGCUGCUCCUGUCCUGGAAGCAGAUGCUGGAUCAUUUCCAGGCCACACCCCACCACGGGGUCUACUCUCGGGAGGAGGAGCUGCUGAGGGAGCGGAAGCGCCUGGGAGUCUUCGGCAUCACCUCCUACGACUUCCACAGCGAGAGCGGCCUCUUCCUCUUCCAGGCCAGCAACAGCCUCUUCCACUGCCGAGAUGGCGGCAAGAACGGCUUCAUGGUGUCCCCUAUGAAACCGCUGGAAAUCAAGACCCAAUGCUCAGGGCCCCGGAUGGACCCCAAAAUCUGCCCUGCCGACCCUGCCUUCUUCUCCUUCAUCAACAACAGCGACCUGUGGGUGGCCAACAUUGAGACAGGCGAGGAGCGGCGGCUGACCUUCUGCCACCAAGGUUUAUCCAACGUCCUGGACGACCCCAAGUCUGCGGGCGUGGCCACCUUCGUCAUACAGGAAGAGUUUGACCGCUUCACUGGGUACUGGUGGUGCCCCACAGCCUCCUGGGAAGGUUCAGAGGGCCUCAAGACGCUGCGAAUCCUAUACGAGGAAGUCGAUGAGUCCGAGGUGGAGGUCAUUCACGUCCCUUCUCCUGCACUAGAAGAAAGGAAGACGGAUUCGUAUCGGUACCCCAGGACAGGCAGCAAGAAUCCCAAGAUCGCCUUGAAACUGGCCGAGUUCCAGACCGACAGCCAGGGCAAGAUUGUCUCGACCCAGGAGAAGGAGCUGGUGCAACCCUUCAGCUCGCUGUUCCCGAAGGUGGAGUACAUCGCCAGGGCCGGGUGGACCCGGGAUGGCAAAUAUGCCUGGGCCAUGUUCCUGGACCGUCCCCAGCAGUGGCUCCAGCUCGUCCUCCUCCCCCCGGCCCUGUUCAUCCCAAGCACAGAGAAUGAGGAGCAGCGGCUAGCCUCUGCCAGAGCCGUCCCCAGGAACAUCCAGCCGUAUGUGGUGUACGAGGAGGUCACCAACGUCUGGAUCAAUGUUCAUGACAUCUUCUAUCCCUUCCCCCAAUCAGAGGGAGAGGACGAGCUCUGCUUUCUCCGCGCCAAUGAGUGCAAGACUGGCUUCUGCCAUUUGUACAAAGUCACCGCCGUUUUAAAAUCCCAGGGCUACGACUGGAGUGAGCCCUUCAGCCCCAGGGAAGAUGAAUUUAAGUGCCCUAUUAAGGAAGAGAUUGCUCUGACCAGCGGUGAAUGGGAGGUUUUGGCGAGGCACGGCUCCAAGAUCUGGGUCAACGAGGAGACCAAGCUGGUGUACUUCCAGGGCACCAAGGACACGCCGCUGGAGCACCACCUCUACGUGGUCAGCUAUGAGGCGGCCGGGGAGAUCGUGCGCCUCACCACGCCCGGCUUCUCCCACAGCUGCUCCAUGAGCCAGAACUUCGACAUGUUCGUCAGCCACUACAGCAGUGUGAGCACGCCACCCUGCGUGCACGUCUACAAGCUGAGCGGCCCCGACGACGACCCCCUGCACAAGCAGCCCCGCUUCUGGGCCAGCAUGAUGGAAGCAGCCAGCUGCCCCCCGGAUUACGUGCCUCCAGAGAUCUUCCACUUCCACACGCGCUCAGACGUGCGGCUCUAUGGCAUGAUCUACAAGCCCCACGCCUUGCAGCCAGGGAAGAAGCACCCCACCGUCCUCUUUGUAUAUGGAGGCCCCCAGGUGCAGCUGGUGAAUAACUCCUUCAAAGGCAUCAAGUACUUGCGGCUCAACACGCUGGCCUCCCUGGGCUACGCCGUGGUCGUGAUUGACGGCAGGGGCUCCUGCCAGCGGGGGCUUCGGUUCGAAGGGGCCCUGAAAAACCAAAUGGGCCAGGUGGAGAUCGAGGACCAGGUGGAGGGCCUGCAGUUCGUGGCGGAGAAGUAUGGCUUCAUCGACCUGAGCCGAGUUGCCAUCCAUGGCUGGUCCUACGGGGGCUUCCUCUCGCUCAUGGGGCUAAUCCACAAGCCCCAGGUGUUCAAGCAGCCCCACGGGGCCGAGCCCCCCUCCUCAUUGCCCGCCACCGCCGACCGCAGGAUGGCAUCCGGCUGCACAAAACCCCGCCAGCAGCUCUCUGUGGGAGGCUGAGCCCGGGACCCCGGCCUCGGAUGGGCAGAGGUGGCCAUCGCGGGCGCCCCAGUCACUGUCUGGAUGGCCUACGACACAGGGUACACUGAGCGCUACAUGGACGUCCCCGAGAACAACCAGCAUGGCUAUGAGGCGGGUUCCGUGGCCCUGCACGUGGAGAAGCUGCCUAACGAGCCCAACCGCCUGCUCAUCCUCCAUGGCUUCCUGGAUGAAAACGUGCACUUUUUCCAUACAAACUUCCUCGUCUCCCAACUGAUCCGAGCAGGGAAACCUUACCAGCUCCAGAUCUACCCCAACGAGAGACACAGUAUUCGCUGCCCCGAGUCGGGCGAGCACUAUGAAGUCACGUUGCUGCACUUUCUACAGGAAUACCUCUGAGCCUGCCCGCCGGGAGCCGCCACAUCACAGCACAAGUGGCUGCAGCCUCCGCGGGGACCAGGCAGAAGGGACUGAGUGGCCCGCGGGCCCCAAUGAGGCACCUUGUCCCGCCCCGCGCUGGCCAGCUCCAAGGAGCCGCUGCCUUCACCGCCCCGACGCCUUUUAUCCUUUUUAAAAUGCUCCUGGGUUUUAUGUCCGCUGCUUCUUGGUUGCCAAGAUAGAGAGAUGGUGGUCUCAGGCCAGCCCCUCCUCUCCCCAACUUCUGGGAGGAGGAGGUCACACACUGAUGGGCACUGGAGAGGCCAGAAGAGACUCAGAGGAGCGGGCUGCCCUCCGCCCGGGGCUCCCUGUGACCUCUCGGUCCCCUGGCCCGGCCAGCCACCGUCCCCAGCACCCAAGCAUGCAAUUGCCUGUCCCCCCCGCCAGCCUUCCCCACUUCAUGUUUGUGUUUUGUUUGAGGGGAUAUUUUUCAUAAUUAUUUAAAAGACAGGCCGGGCGCGGUGGCUCACGUCUGUAAUCCCAGCACUUUGGGAGGCUGAGGCGGGCGGAUCACCUGAGGUCGGGAGUUCAAGACCAGCCUGACCAACAUGGGGAAACCCUGUCUCUACUAAAAAUACAAAAAAUUAGCCGGGCGUGGUGGCUCACGCCUGUAAUCCCAGCUACUCGGGAGGCUGAGGCAGGAGAAUCGCUGGAACCUAGAAGGCUGAGGUUGCGGUGAGCCGAGAUUGCGUCAUUGCACUCCAGCCUGGGCAACAAAAGCGAAACUCCAUCUCACAAUAAAUAAAAAACAAAAGACAGAAAGCAAGGGGUGCCUAAAUCGAGACUCGGGGUCCACACCGGGCAGCGGGGUUGCAACCCAGCACCUGGUAGGCUCCAUUUCUUCCCAAGCCGGAGCAGAGGGUCAUGCGGGCCCCACAUGAGGAGCAGCCAGGGCCCACAGGGGGCACCACCUGUGAACAGCCCUCCUGUCCCCAAGCUUUCAGGCAGGCACUGAAACGCACCGAACUUCUACGCUCUGCUGGUCAGUGGCGGCUGUCCCCUCCCCAGCCCAGCCGCCUGGCCACAUGUGUCUGCCUGGCCCGUACACACCGGGGGUUCCGGGGUUGGGAGCUGAACCAUCCCCACCUCAGGGUUAUAUUUCCUCCUCCCUUUCCCUCCCCGCCAAGAGCUCUGCCGGGGCGGGCAAAAAAAAAGUAAAAAGAAAAGAAAAAAAAAAAAACAAAA